Molecule: long non-coding RNA, 382 nt
Organism: Oncorhynchus masou masou (cherry salmon)
Lineage: Eukaryota; Metazoa; Chordata; Actinopteri; Salmoniformes; Salmonidae
Exons: 3
Source: RefSeq, a predicted model, not a curated record
GGAAUGGGCAAAGGGUGUCCGGGUCGCAAUUGUAAAUGAGAACGAGAUCGAGAUAAGACCGAGACCGGGAGGUGGUCAAGGGAACCGAGACCAGGUCAAGACCAAGACCAGAAAAAUAGAGAGAAUGGAACCAGCAGAGAGAGGAGGGGAAAACUAUCUCUGGAAGAUGGCCACCGAGACAGAGGAGCUAUCCAGGAAGAACCACUAAGACGGUGACAAUCCAGUGACUUUUGUUGUAGUUUAAAGAUAAUCCAAUUGUGUCCCUGUUUCAUCUGGAGAAGAUGUAUGUUUUUCCUUGGAAGAUUUUCAUUGAUUAUGUUGGAGUGUUUUUGUUGACCAAAUGCCCUCAAUAGAGAACUGUGUUCAAUCAAGAAAACCUACU